AAUGAACGCUGGCGGCGUGCCUAACACAUGCAAGUCGGAUGUGCCGCAAGGUGCAUGGCAGACGGGUGAGUAACGCGUAGGGAAUCUACCUUUUUGUGGGGAAUAACGCUCCGAAAGGAGUGGUAAUACCGCAUGAGACCGUGAGCUGGGAUGUUCACGGUGAAACCUGGGGACCGCAAGGCCUGGGGCAAAAAGAGGAUCCUGCGUCUGAUUAGCUAGUUGGCGGGGUAAUGGCCCACCAAGGCGACGAUCAGUAGCCGGCCUGAGAGGGUGAUCGGCCACUCUGGAACUGAGACACGGUCCAGACUCCUACGGGAGGCAGCAGUGGGGAAUUUUGCGCAAUGGACGAAAGUCUGACGCAGCAACGCCGCGUGGGUGAUGAAGGUCUUCGGACUGUAAAACCCCGUCGUCAGGGACGAAGGUGGCAGUGUUAAUAGCGCUGUUACUUGACGGUACCUGGAGAGGAAGCCCCGGCUAACUCUGUG
RNAcentral lists this ribosomal RNA (485 nucleotides) under uncultured bacterium. Its description in RNAcentral is "partial 16S ribosomal RNA". It matches the Rfam family "Bacterial small subunit ribosomal RNA", at positions 29 to 507 of the family's 1533-position model. The record is from RNAcentral.